This is a long non-coding RNA of Argiope bruennichi, 3137 nucleotides long. RefSeq lists it as uncharacterized. The transcript has 2 exons. The record is from RefSeq and is a predicted model, not a curated record. NCBI's taxonomy places the organism in Eukaryota, Metazoa, Arthropoda, Arachnida, Araneae, Araneidae.
AGGAAUGUUUAACCUCGUGAUUUUUAUUUCUUUUAUUUAUUGCAUAUUUAUAUUUAAUGACGCUGAUUUUUAAUGGUUUGCAAACUUUUCCUUACAUAUAAAAAGAACACAGACAUCCCUCGAAUCAGAUUCGAUCUCACUAGAGUUGAAUUGCGUUAAACAUGUUUUCUAAAGCUUUGUACGCUCUUGCCUUUGCUGCUGUCUUGAGUUUGGGUAAGUUGUUUUUUGUUGUUCUUGUUGUUUUUUGUUUAUCUUGCAAAAAAACAUUUAUUCGCUGCUUAUUCUUUUUUACCCCUGAAUGCUUUUAUCAGAUUUCAUAAAUCCUUAAAAUUGGAAAAAAAAUUCUAGUAAAAUAGAGGCGCAAUUAUUCAGAUUUGUAGACCAAUACAACAGUUCGAUAAAAAAAAUUAUAAUUUUUUUCUGUUACUUUUUUUAUUUAAAUCUGUUUCAUAAAAACAGAGUGGUUAUAAAAAAAUAUACUGAAAGAGUUCUUUAAAAUUGCAAUUAUUAGUAUUAACACUUUAAAAGUAAUAUUUCAUUCCUAUAUUUACUCUCGUUUUCGGUAUUUACCAGCAUUCGAAAAAAGGCAUUUUUGGCAUUAGGUAUCUCUAUCUAUCCGGCAGUCUGAAACAGAGAUAACUCACAAAUGCUUUGAGCUAGACUGGUGAAAUUUGGUAUAUUAUCUAUCAAAUUCUGUACGGAAUCCAUUCAAAAGAAGUAUGUCUCUAUGGUUCUUCGAAUAUAAUUGAGCUUUAUAACUUCAAAACGCAGGAAAUUAGGUAGAUAAAAUCUGGCACACAGUUCUGCCAUCUAAAAUGUAGAUUUUUAUCAUAUUUUCUACCAAAUCUGUCAAAGUUUCACCAGAUGCCGUUUCUCACGCUGCUUUCAUCAUACUUUCGCAGCAUGUAAACGUAAUAACUCAGGAAAACUAUGAUUUAAAGCAAUGAAAUUCGUUAUAUCUUGUGAUUGUAAUUGUAGUUUCUGUGUCAAAUUUCAGUUUCAAUCAUUUCGCAAAUAGGCUUCCAAACGAUAGGUUCAUCCUAUAGAUUUCAAUAAAAUGACUAGACUCAUGCUGUAGAUCUAUAAUUCAAAGCCAUUGUUUGUUAAUACCUAUCAAGACAUUCGCUGCAUUACAUAAUUUCCACAGUUAUAUACUGUGAAUGGGGAAUAAGACCUCCUUUGAACAAUAUGCAAGAAAGUUUCCGGGAGUUCAGUUCUUCUGUGGUUAAAACUUCUAUUCUUUAAUAAUUCUAAAAACAUAUAGUUUAAUUUUUUGAUUAAUUUUUAUUACUGAAACUCAAAAAUUAAUUAUGAUUUUUUUUCUAAUUACAGCUCUAGGUAAGGAUGAUUUUUUUUUUCAAAAUCGAGUUAUCUGUCAUAUUGAAUUAAUUAAUUGGUUUGAAACUGUGAUAAAUUUUUCUUGUGAUUUAUUAUUCUAUUUUAAUUUCCUAUAUAUUUCUUUAACUAUAUGAAAUUUAAUGAGAAAUAUACAGAUAUUAAUUUUAUUAUUUAAUUAUUUCAUAUUUUAAUUUAAUCAGCUGUAUGAUAUUUCAGAUAGUUUGCCAAUGUUUCUUAUAAUUUAGUCAUAUCCAAACAUUCUGGUAAAAUCCUUUUCUCAUAUAUGUGAUUAAAGCAGAAAGUUUUAAAUUUAACAAGUUUGGAAGAAAAGUUUUUCAGAGUUUUCAAAUUGAAUAUUUUCUCUAGAAUCUAUUUGUACAUACAUCGUGGCUUAUUUUUCUCAGAUUUAAUUUUGAAUAUAAAAUUCAUUUCUUAAUGUUAAUAUAAAGUUGCAUAGAACUGGACAGCAUGUUAUUGUGGUAGCUUAUAAAUAAAAACAGUUCACAGUUUCAUUUUAAAUGGCAAUUUUAAUAUCAUUAAAAAUACAGAUACAAUGAAGACAAUAAAAGAUGUAAUAUAACAAGAUUAUGAAAAUAAAUUUGCUUUCCAAUUCUUAUAUGUAUGCUUUUUUUUAUUUUUAGCCGAACGUAAGAAAUUAUUUCUUUUCUUAUUAUUAACUUAAAGAAUUUCUAAUACUGCUAAAAUUCUUAGAAACGUUUUAUUUUUUAUUUCCUUACUUAAGCAUAUGUUUUAUGUUUAUAAAAAUUAUUUUUUUUAUUUUCUAAUAUUUAUAUAUAUGCAUGCAUUUUUAUUUUUAGCUGAACGUAAGCAUUUGCUAUUCUUUUUUUUUUCUGCUUAUUUUAAUAUGAAUUGCUACAUGUCACAUGAUUUUUCUAAUCAAUAAAAUUUAACAUUAAUGGCAGAAAGUUAAGGAACGUUUAUUCCUAACAACAAAUAAAUAAAUAUUUUCAAUAUUAAAAAAAAUUACAUAUUAUUUUUACCAAAUUUUAAUAAAUAAUACUCUUAAAUAAAGGGGCUUGAGUUUAAAAAGAAAUUAUAACAAAUAAUAGUUUUAGAGUUUCCUCUAGACAAUAAUCUCAAUUUAAAUAGCAUUUAUAAAGUAUUUCUGUAUGGAUACACUCCAUUAAUUAAGCUCAUAAAGAUAUAAUUUCAAAAUAAAUUUUCAUUCCGAAUGUACUACAAUUUUGAAUUUUUUGUUCUCAUUAUACAGCCAACAACUAUACAUCAUUUUAAUAUUUUUAAAUUUAACUUACGUGUUAAUUAAACUUUAUUCCACAGAAAUGCCAUAAUUUUGAAAUAAAUUUGUGAAUAUUAAAUAAAGCUACGAAAAUUAGAGAAUAAUUAUUGAAAAUAUAUUUAUUUUUAAUAUAUUUGGAAAGUAUUUUUUGACAAUCUUUUUAAAACCGAGAUCUUUGAAUGAUAAGGAAACUUUUGACAUUUUGUAACAUUUAAACAUAUAUAAAUAUUCUAAAUGGUUUUUCUUUUUCUCUAUAACUUAUUAUAGCUGGCCAUGAUGGAAACAUCUUCAACGAUGCCGCUAGCGUUUUGGACAACUUCUUUGGAACCGGUUAGAAAGCCACUUUGAAAACGCAAUAUGAAAAAAAAUAUCUAGUUCAAAAACUCUAUCAAAUGUUCAAAAUUUUAUCAAAUGUAUCCAAAAUUAAUUGCACUUCUAUUAUCUGAAGUUGUGUACAUUAAAUAUUCUUAAUUAUAAGCAUAUUUAUAAAAUACAAUGUACCUGAUCUUUAAAAGAAUCUAAUAAAAAAGGAUCAUAUUUA